RNAcentral lists this ribosomal RNA (120 nucleotides) under Promethearchaeota archaeon. RNAcentral also lists the same sequence under 2 other names. Lineage: Archaea; Promethearchaeati; Promethearchaeota. The record is from RNAcentral.
GAUGGCGGCCAUAGGGGCUAGUGUCUACCCGAUCCCGUUCCGCUCUCGGAAGUCAAGACUAGCUCCGUUGCAGGAGAUGUGCGCUGCGCGAGCGCGUGACAGGCCUGCAAGCUGCCACAU